RNAcentral lists this ribosomal RNA (499 nucleotides) under uncultured bacterium. RNAcentral's name for it is "bacterial SSU rRNA". It matches the Rfam family "Bacterial small subunit ribosomal RNA", at positions 25 to 518 of the family's 1533-position model. The record is from RNAcentral.
CAGGAUGAACGCUAGCGGCAGGCUUAACACAUGCAAGUCGAGGGGCAGCGCGAGGUAGCAAUACUUGGCGGCGACCGGCGAAAGGGUGCGUAACGCGUGAGCAACUUGCCCGUAUCUGGGACAUAAGCGGUGGAAACGCCGUCAAUUUCCCAUAACAACAGAGGCCGCAUGACCUUUGUUUGAAAGAUCCGUCGGAUACGGAUGGGCUCGCGAGACAUUAGCUAGUCGGCGUGGUAACGGCACACCGAGGCGACGAUGUCUAGGGGUUCUGAGAGGAAGGUCCCCCACACUGGAACUGAGACACGGUCCAGACUCCUACGGGAGGCAGCAGUGAGGAAUAUUGGUCAAUGGGCGCAAGCCUGAACCAGCCAUGCCGCGUGAAAAGGAAUAAGGCCCUAUGGGUCGUAAACUUCUUUUGUGGUGGAGCAAUAAGGCGUACGUGUACGUCGAUGAGAGUACAUCACGAAUAAGCAUCGGCUAACUCCGUGCCAGCCGCCGC